AGCUCCAAUAGCGUAUAUUUAAGUUGUUGCAGUUAAAAAGCUCGUAGUUGGAUUUCUGAUUUGAGCGUCCGGUCCGCUUCUUUUGAAGCGCGAACUAUGGAUGUUUGGGUCAUUUUUUGUGAGGAUGCCUUUCUGCCAUUAAGUUGGUGGUUGGGUGGACUUGCAUCGUUUACUGUGAAAAAAUUAGAGUGUUUAAAGCAGGCGUUUGCUCAUUUGAAUACAUUAGCAUGGAAUAAUAAGAUACGGCCUUGGUGGUCUAUUUUGUUGGUUUCUAGAGCUGAGGUAAUGAUUAAUAGGGACAGUUGGGGGUAUUCAUAUUUCAGCGUCAGAGGUGAAAUUCUUGGAUCGCUGAAAGAUGAGCUUAGGCGAAAGCAUUUACCAAGGAUGUUUUCAUUA
This 396-nucleotide ribosomal RNA is filed under the name uncultured Leptomitales. RNAcentral describes it as "SSU rRNA". It matches the Rfam family "Eukaryotic small subunit ribosomal RNA", at positions 587 to 975 of the family's 1831-position model. Lineage: Eukaryota; Oomycota; Saprolegniomycetes; Leptomitales. The record is from RNAcentral.